Molecule: non-coding RNA, 485 nt
Organism: Poeciliopsis prolifica (blackstripe livebearer)
Lineage: Eukaryota; Metazoa; Chordata; Actinopteri; Cyprinodontiformes; Poeciliidae
Source: the annotation of a RefSeq genome assembly
AUUACAGUCAACCUACAAGCAGCAGCAUGAUGUUAAUCCUGCUGGUCAUGAUGGCUCAGAUCCUUGUUGUGGUUUCAGGAUCUUCUCUCAGCGAUCAGGUUCAUCAGACUCCGUUCAACAUUGUGGCAAAGCGAGGAGAAGCAGCCAGAAUCAGCUGCUCUCACGAUAUAAAGAACUACGAAGUGAUCCUCUGGUACAAGAGACUAGAGGACAAACAGCUGCAGCUGCUGGGGUACAGAUUUAAAGAAAACACAAAUCCUGAACCUGGAACCGAUGUUAAGCUGGAUAUGGAUGGGAGUGGAGAUCAAGGACAGACCUGCACUUUAACAAUCAAAGAGCUGAGUGAGAAAAGCAGUGCAGUUUACUACUGUGCUGCUAGUUACCACAGUGCUGAAUAUCACUGCUGCUCUGUGCAAAAACCUCCUUCCAUCCUGCUGCACCUGUGGCAGCACAGCCUCACUAAGGAGAUGCUGGGAUUCCAGUGA